RNAcentral lists this transfer RNA (72 nucleotides) under Paramuricea clavata. It matches the Rfam family "tRNA". Rfam says of the family: Transfer RNA (tRNA) molecules are approximately 80 nucleotides in length. Their secondary structure includes four short double-helical elements and three loops (D, anti-codon, and T loops). Further hydrogen bonds mediate the characteristic L-shaped molecular structure. tRNAs have two regions of fundamental functional importance: the anti-codon, which is responsible for specific mRNA codon recognition, and the 3' end, to which the tRNAs corresponding amino acid is attached (by aminoacyl-tRNA synthetases). tRNAs cope with the degeneracy of the genetic code in two manners: having more than one tRNA (with a specific anti-codon) for a particular amino acid; and 'wobble' base-pairing, i.e. permitting non-standard base-pairing at the 3rd anti-codon position. The record is from Rfam by way of RNAcentral. Lineage: Eukaryota; Metazoa; Cnidaria; Anthozoa; Malacalcyonacea; Plexauridae.
GACCGCGUAGCUCAGUUGGAAGAGCAUUGGGCUAGUAUUCCAAAGGUCGUAGGUUCGAAUCCCACCGUGGCA